RNAcentral lists this ribosomal RNA (225 nucleotides) under uncultured bacterium. Its description in RNAcentral is "partial 16S ribosomal RNA". It matches the Rfam family "Bacterial small subunit ribosomal RNA", at positions 109 to 334 of the family's 1533-position model. The record is from RNAcentral.
AGUAACGCGUGGGUAACCUGCCUUAUACAGGGGGAUAACAGUCAGAAAUGGCUGCUAAUGCCGCAUAAGCGCACAGAGCUGCAUGGCUCAGUGUGAAAAACUCCGGUGGUAUAAGAUGGACCCGCGUUGGAUUAGCUAGUUGGUGGGGUAACGGCCCACCAAGGCGACGAUCCAUAGCCGGCCUGAGAGGGUGAACGGCCACAUUGGGACUGAGACACGGCCCAG